CCUACGGGAGGCAGCAGUGGGGAAUCUUGCGCAAUGGGCGAAAGCCUGACGCAGCCAUGCCGCGUGAAUGAUGAAGGUCUUAGGAUUGUAAAAUUCUUUCACCGAGGACGAUAAUGACGGUACUCGGAGAAGAAGCCCCGGCUAACUUCGUGCCAGCAGCCGCGGUAAUACGAAGGGGGCUAGCGUUGCUCGGAAUUACUGGGCGUAAAGGGAGCGUAGGCGGAUAGUUUAGUCAGAGGUGAAAGCCCAGGGCUCAACCUUGGAAUUGCCUUUGAUACUGGCUAUCUUGAGUACGGAAGAGGUAUGUGGAACUCCGAGUGUAGAGGUGAAAUUCGUAGAUAUUCGGAAGAACACCAGUGGCGAAGGCGACAUACUGGUCCGUUACUGACGCUGAGGCUCGAAAGCGUGGGGAGCAAACAGGAUUAGAUACCCUGGUAGUCCACGCUGUAAACGAUGAGUGCUAGUUGUCGGCAUGCAUGCAUGUCGGUGACGCAGCUACGCAUAAGACACUCCGCCGUGGGAGGUACGGUCGCGAGAAGUUAAACGUUAAAGUAGAGUAGACGCGUGAGACGUGCGACGACGACGACGAGGGAGGAGG
Molecule: ribosomal RNA, 598 nt
Filed under: uncultured bacterium
Lineage: Bacteria
Description: bacterial SSU rRNA
Rfam family: Bacterial small subunit ribosomal RNA (bases 1-516)
Source: RNAcentral